Long non-coding RNA from Nematostella vectensis (starlet sea anemone), 329 nucleotides. RefSeq lists it as uncharacterized. The record is from RefSeq and is a predicted model, not a curated record. Lineage: Eukaryota; Metazoa; Cnidaria; Anthozoa; Actiniaria; Edwardsiidae. The transcript has 2 exons.
UAACUGUUGAGGAAAAAGGACCCCCUCCCCCACCCCUCCCAUCUAGAAAUUGCUGGGCGUUUUAACGCCCACACCCCGGAAUUCCCAAUCCCCUCAAGGGGGGGGGGGGAAUGGAUAUUUUAUGGAACUACACAAUCAUGAAAAAUAUCAAGGGCGUGGGAAAUCACAGGAUUGGUCUCUUGUCAAAGCGUAUUUACAAAAUAAGAAGUCAAGGUGACUCAAAAUAAUAAUAUUAUGAUUAAGCAACUUUUAAAAAUAAACUGCGCAUGUACAGAGGUGAACAUAACAUGUGAGAUUAAACUGCUCAAGUAAAAUGUCUGAAACGACAA